GAUAUAAUAGGACAAGCUAUAAUCCGUAGACCUUCAAAGUCUGAAAUAAUCUUGUGGAUUUUAUGUUG
Molecule: transfer RNA, 68 nt
Filed under: Physella acuta
Lineage: Eukaryota; Metazoa; Mollusca; Gastropoda; Physidae
Description: transfert RNA-W(TGA)
Source: RNAcentral